RNAcentral lists this ribosomal RNA (254 nucleotides) under uncultured bacterium. RNAcentral's name for it is "partial 16S ribosomal RNA". It matches the Rfam family "Bacterial small subunit ribosomal RNA", at positions 524 to 776 of the family's 1533-position model. The record is from RNAcentral.
UACGUAGGGUGCGAGCGUUGUCCGGAAUUAUUGGGCGUAAAGAGCUCGUAGGCGGUGUGUCACGUCGGCCGUGAAAACCUGCAGCUUAACUGUGGGCGUGCGGUCGAUACGGGCAUCACUGGAGUUCGGCAGGGAAGACUGGAAUUCCUGGUGUAGCGGUGAAAUGCGCAGAUAUCAGGAGGAACACCGGUGGCGAAGGCGGGUCUCUGGGCCGGUACUGACGCUGAUGCGCGAAAGCGUGGGGAGCAAACGGG